Tachyglossus aculeatus (Australian echidna) is the source of this 138-nucleotide small nucleolar RNA. NCBI's taxonomy places the organism in Eukaryota, Metazoa, Chordata, Mammalia, Monotremata, Tachyglossidae. The record is from RefSeq and is a predicted model, not a curated record.
CCCCUCUCAGGGUCGCACCUGGAGAAUUUCCAGUACUCUCCUAGUCUCGGCUAAGGGAGGGAUCAUCAAGCAGAGGCCCACCUAUUCCAUUCCUAGCUUGGGCAGUGGCUAGCGAGUGGAAGACAAUCUGCUAUGAGU